AACGAACGCUGGCGGCAGGCCUAACACAUGCAAGUCGAACGCCCCGCAAGGGGAGUGGCAGACGGGUGAGUAACACGUGGGAACCUUCCCUAUAGUACGGAAUAGCCCAGGGAAACUUGGAGUAAUACCGUAUACGCCCGAAAGGGGAAAGAAUUUCGCUAUAGGAUGGGCCCGCGUAGGAUUAGCUAGUUGGUGAGGUAAUGGCUCACCAAGGCGACGAUCCUUAGCUGGUUUGAGAGAACGACCAGCCACACUGGGACUGAGACACGGCCCAGACUCCUACGGGAGGCAGCAGUGGGGAAUAUUGGACAAUGGGCGCAAGCCUGAUCCAGCCAUGCCGCGUGAGUGAUGAAGGCCUUAGGGUUGUAAAGCUCUUUUGGCGGGGACGAUAAUGACGGUACCUGCAGAAUAAGUCCCGGCUAACUUCGUG
Molecule: ribosomal RNA, 430 nt
Filed under: uncultured bacterium
Lineage: Bacteria
Description: partial 16S ribosomal RNA
Rfam family: Bacterial small subunit ribosomal RNA
Source: RNAcentral